RNAcentral lists this ribosomal RNA (522 nucleotides) under uncultured bacterium. Its description in RNAcentral is "bacterial SSU rRNA". It matches the Rfam family "Bacterial small subunit ribosomal RNA", at positions 16 to 518 of the family's 1533-position model. The record is from RNAcentral.
AUCCUGGCUUAGGACGAACGCUGGCGGCGUGCUUAACACAUGCAAGUCGAACGGGGCGAAGAGGAGCUUGCUCUUCCUAGCCUAGUGGCAAACGGGUGAGUAACGCGUAGGCAACCUGCCCUUCAGAUGGGGACAACAUUUCGAAAGGAAUGCUAAUACCGAAUGAUGUACAUUGGUCGCAUGACCGAUGUACCAAAGGCCGGGCAACCGGUCACUGAAGGAUGGGCCUGCGUCUGAUUAGCUAGUUGGUGGGGUAACGGCUCACCAAGGCGACGAUCAGUAGCCGGUCUGAGAGGAUGAACGGCCACAUUGGGACUGAGACACGGCCCAAACUCCUACGGGAGGCAGCAGUGGGGAAUCUUCCGCAAUGGGCGCAAGCCUGACGGAGCAACGCCGCGUGAGUGAAGAAGGUUUUCGGAUCGUAAAGCUCUGUUGUCAGGGACGAGAGACUUGAUCAGGAAAUGGGUCAAGGAGGACGGUACCUGACGAGAAAGCCACGGCUAACUACGUGCCAGCCGCGGC